ACGAACGCUGGCGGCGUGCUUAACACAUGCAAGUCGAACGGGCCUUGUCCCCUUUUUUUUUGGGGGUGGGGUUAGUGGCGAACGGGUGAGUAACACGUGAGUAACCUGCCCCUCACUUCUGGAUAACCGCUUGAAAGGGUGGCUAAUACGGGGUGUUCUGGCCUUCUCGCAUGGGUGGGUUUGGAAAGAUUCGACCGGUUUUGGUUGUUUUGGUGGGGGAUGGGCUCGCGGCCUAUCAGCUUGUUGGUGGGGUGAUGGCCUGCCAAGGCUUUGACGGGUAGCCGGCCUGAGAGGGUGGGCGGUCACACUGGGACUGAGACACGGCCCAGACUCCUACGGGAGGCAGCAGUGGGGAAUAUUGCACAAUGGGCGCAAGCCUGAUGCAGCGACGCCGCGUGAGGGAUGGAGGCCUUCGGGUUGUGAACCUCUUUCGCCAGUGAAGAAGGUCCUGCUCUUUGGGGUGGGGUUGACGGUAGCUGGGUUAAUGAAGCGCCGGCUAACUACGU
RNAcentral lists this ribosomal RNA (506 nucleotides) under uncultured bacterium. RNAcentral's name for it is "partial 16S ribosomal RNA". It matches the Rfam family "Bacterial small subunit ribosomal RNA", at positions 29 to 506 of the family's 1533-position model. The record is from RNAcentral.